CUCUGAUUCAAAUCAGGAGAGAGGCAGAUAGAUAUUCCGGCGAUUUCUUGGAUUCAAUCGUUUCGUCAUCAUAUUUUGAUCUCAGAUUAUCAACCAUGUAUGAGAAGAUUGUGUAUGCUAUCUUGAAUCAUGGUGCAUGAAUCAUUUGGUUGCAGUUAAUGAAGAUUGUUGGGCAUUGAUACGAUGCAGGGAUGAUUACCUCUUGAUUAUUCUAUUUAUAAAUGGUGGAUGUCACUAGGGUUGAAGAUUAUUAUAUUGAUGUCUAAGAGACGGGUAAAAGCUCUUAUGGACAGGAUCAUUAGUCCCAUAUUAAGGACUUCAUGUGGAAGAUGAAGAAUUCACCGCAAUAAAAUUGUUAGGGAGAAAUAAGGAAUACCUAUGAUGUGCACUGGGUGCUUUACUUAUCCCUCCAUUGAUGAUUUACUACCCUUCUUGCUUACGACUUCGUACUUUUUGUUUUCAUGUAACUUGUUAAAAUGGAUGAUACUAUCUUAUUUAUUUUAAGAAUUUAGUUUGGUUUUUACUUUAA
Long non-coding RNA from Papaver somniferum (opium poppy), 529 nucleotides. RefSeq lists it as uncharacterized. The record is from RefSeq and is a predicted model, not a curated record. Lineage: Eukaryota; Viridiplantae; Streptophyta; Magnoliopsida; Ranunculales; Papaveraceae. The transcript has 4 exons.